Molecule: ribosomal RNA, 482 nt
Filed under: uncultured bacterium
Lineage: Bacteria
Description: partial 16S ribosomal RNA
Rfam family: Bacterial small subunit ribosomal RNA
Source: RNAcentral
GACGAACGCUGGCGGCGUGCUUAACACAUGCAAGUCGAACGAUGAAGAAGAGAAACGCGAACUUCGGUUCAAAUUUCACUUCGGAUUAGUGGCAGACGGGUGAGUAACGCGUGAGCAACCUACCUCUUACAAAGGGAUAGCCUCGGGAAACCGUGAUUAAUACCAUAUGACACAUUCAUAAGGCAUCUUAAGAAUGUUAAAGCUACGGCGGUAAGAGAUGGGCUCGCGUCCCAUUAGCUAGUUGGUGAGGUAACGGCCCACCAAGGCGACGAUGGGUAACCGGCCUGAGAGGGUGAACGGUCACAUUGGAACUGAGACACGGUCCAAACUCCUACGGGAGGCAGCAGUGGGGAAUAUUGCACAAUGGAGGGAACUCUGAUGCAGCGACGCCGCGUGAGCGAUGAAGGAAUUCGUUUCGUAAAGCUCUGUUCUAUGGGAAGAAAAGGACUGUACCAUAGGAGAAAGCCCCGGCUAAAUACAUG